Non-coding RNA from Pseudonaja textilis, 82 nucleotides. Lineage: Eukaryota; Metazoa; Chordata; Lepidosauria; Squamata; Elapidae. The record is from RefSeq and is a predicted model, not a curated record.
UGUGGCAGCCCCUCAAAUACUGGAAUACUGCUAUCAUACCCCUCCCCAGUCCUUUUCUUCUCUAGACUAGCCAUACCCAGGU